Molecule: small RNA, 157 nt
Filed under: Drosophila guanche
Lineage: Eukaryota; Metazoa; Arthropoda; Insecta; Diptera; Drosophilidae
Source: RNAcentral
UGCAUUGAUUUGUAUGUACAACGGAUACGAACAACAGACAAAGAAAUUUUUAACAAAAAUUCAAAUAAACGUAAUCAAUUUGGUCUGUUAUCAGUGGCUGUGUGUGUGUGUGUGUGUGCGUGAGUUUGUGGUAUGGAUGGAUGGCUUGGCAUUGCAA